CCCUAGUAACGGCGAGUGAAGAGGGAAGAGCCCAAGUUUGAAAGCUGGCACCUUCGGUGUCCGCAUUGUAAUCUCGAGAAGUGUUUNCCGCGCUGGACCAGGUACAAGUCCCUUGGAAUAGGGCAUCAUAGAGGGUGAAAAUCCCGUACUUGACUUGGAACCACCAGGGUUUUGUGAUACACUCUCCAAGAGUCGAGUUGUUUGGGAAUGCAGCUCAAAAUGGGUGGUAAAUGCCAUCUAAGGCUAAAUAUCGAGGAGAGACCGAUAGCGAACAAGUACCGUGAGGGAAAGAUGAAAAGAACUUUGAAAAGAGAGUUAAAAGUACGUGAAAUUGCCGGAAGGGAAGGGUAGGGAGUCAGACAUGCUGCUAUUAAUUCAGCCGUACCUUUGGGUUAGGUGUAUUUUAGUAGUGGCAGGCCAKCAUCGGUUUGUGCCGCUGGAUAUAGGUUUGAGGAAUGUGGCUUAUGCUUCGGUAUAAGUGUUAUAGCCUCUUACUGAGUACAGCGGCGUGGACCGAGGAACGCAGCGCACCCGCAAGGGCGGGCCUUCGGGCACCUUUGCGCUUAGGAUGC
Molecule: ribosomal RNA, 572 nt
Filed under: Doassansiopsis deformans
Lineage: Eukaryota; Fungi; Basidiomycota; Ustilaginomycetes; Urocystidales; Doassansiopsidaceae
Description: LSU rRNA
Rfam family: Eukaryotic large subunit ribosomal RNA
Source: RNAcentral